GACGAACGCUGGCGGCGUGCCUAAUACAUGCAAGUUGAGCGCUGAAGGUUGGUACUUGUACCAACUGGAUGAGCAGCGAACGGGUGAGUAACGCGUGGGGAAUCUGCCUUUGAGCGGGGGACAACAUUUGGAAACGAAUGCUAAUACCGCAUAAAAACUUUAAACACAAGUUUUAAGUUUGAAAGAUGCAAUUGCAUCACUCAAAGAUGAUCCCGCGUUGUAUUAGCUAGUUGGUGAGGUAAAGGCUCACCAAGGCGAUGAUACAUAGCCGACCUGAGAGGGUGAUCGGCCACAUUGGGACUGAGACACGGCCCAAACUCCUACGGGAGGCAGCAGUAGGGAAUCUUCGGCAAUGGACGAAAGUCUGACCGAGCAACGCCGCGUGAGUGAAGAAGGUUUUCGGAUCGUAAAACUCUGUUGGUAGAGAAGAACGUUGGUGAGAGUGGAAAGCUCAUCAAGUGACGGUAACUACCCAGAAAGGGACGGCGAACUACG
This 495-nucleotide ribosomal RNA is filed under the name uncultured bacterium. RNAcentral describes it as "partial 16S ribosomal RNA". It matches the Rfam family "Bacterial small subunit ribosomal RNA", at positions 28 to 505 of the family's 1533-position model. The record is from RNAcentral.